UCCUCCGCGCGUGCCAAUGUCACCUUUCACUGAUGCCGGAAAUGUUCAGCACACUCUGCAGAAAUAUGGAGUUGCCGGAGAAGACGUUCGUUUGGUUACAGUGGCAGAGAAAAUGUAGCCAGCGUUAAUUGUAACAGCUCGCCCUGCUAAAAAGGCAAGGAAAAGAAAGCCUGAGGCAGAAAAGGCUAGACGAUAAAGGCUCUGGAUAAAGAAAGAAGUCAGACCUGACUCAACAUCGGUGUGGCCUUUGAGUGGUGGAGACAACUGGGGCAUGUGAAGGACCUGAAAAGUGAUGCAGAGGUUGCUCUCUUUCUGUUGGACAGGUCGCACCUCGUGUUUGAUCUCCCGUUGAAGUCCUCCGUGACCAAAGAGAACACGUGUGCCUUCAUCUGGAGUGAUCUGCAGACUCGCUACAGUCCGCCAUACAUCAUCAUGAGCGUCAGCCAGGAUCGUCGGAGAGACGCUCCCGUCCUGGUCGUAAAGAUGAAGAUGCUUCUGACCUUUGACCUCAUCUCAAUAAUUGCCUUCUGUAAAGAAACACUGCGCUGACUUGUAUGGUAUGAAACAGAAAAGGAAUUCCGAGUAUUUUGGCUGCAGUAGUGUCAGCAUCAACACAGUUUAACAAAACAUAUUGGUCAGCAUUAAAUAUGUAUUGUGUGUGUCAACUAGAUUGUCAACUUAGAUUUUCCUACGUUGUGGCAAAAAGGAGGACUUACCUUCUUAAAUUUAAAUGAUCGUUUUGAAAUUUACAUUGCUAAAAUUAAAGUUCUGUGCAUUUAAUUUAAAGUUAAAGAUACCAUAAUGCCCAAAAUGCUUAAAAACACGUCAGUCAUACUUGAAAAAAUGAAAACCAAUGUUGAAGUCUUUAUACUAUCUGUCACUGCAGAGUAUAUGUAAUAACUUCUGCGUUACUUGCAAGUACUUUAUCAUGCUUUACUGGUAUAAACGGUGCUUCAUGCAACAUUUCUUGCCAUUCCUGGAUCAGAAAUACAGAAAUACUCACGAUUCAAUGCCUCAGAUAGGCUGAAUAGUCUAUCGCUAAAGGGAAAAAUACACCUUCUGCUGGGGAGUUACGUUACAAGUUCAUCACCGCUUCCAUCUCUGUCUGGGAUUAAACGACGUGACAUAUAAUAACGUGUCAUAUAGGGAGCUUUAGGGGUGCUGGAAGUCAGAUUUUUAUUGCCUUCGGACAUAGACGCGCUGGCUGUGUCCACCUGUUUACAGCUUUUGUUCUAAGCUGAGCCAACCAGCUGCUGACUGUAGUAAUUCUGUCUCGUGAAUUCAAACUGUGUCUUCAAAGCUAGACCCAAAUGUCUGAGCCUCGUUUUCUUCCCAGAGGAUCUAGCCUGUGAAAAACCAGGGCUUUAUGUUGAAGGAGUCUUGUUUUCAUGAUCGUUCCACUCAGACGUGAAGGAGGAACCUUUUUGCAGCUCAUUAUGUGCUGCGCUGUUAUUUUGUGCAAGACCUCUGGAAAAAGGUCUUUCCCCCGGCUGAAGGUUUCACAACCUCACAUUUCAGGACAGUCCUACGGGAGCCCUGUUUUUCCACAUUCUCACUUUAUCCCAGUGGUGGUUUGUAGAGUCAAUAAGCAUGUUAUGACAAGGCAGAGUCGUAAAACUGACCAUAACAUGUUGUAAAUUAGCCAAGUUAACUGUGCAGCAGGGAGGAAUCUUAAAUGAAUAUCAUCACCUACUUUUCAAUCCAGUCCCACAGUUGAAUAUUGAAUCUGGUUAUUCUUCUUUAUUUACCACUUUUUGUUAAUAAGCAAUAAAAGGCAAACAUUUA
Molecule: long non-coding RNA, 1785 nt
Organism: Acanthopagrus latus (yellowfin seabream)
Lineage: Eukaryota; Metazoa; Chordata; Actinopteri; Spariformes; Sparidae
Exons: 2
Source: RefSeq, a predicted model, not a curated record